CCUUGUUGUUGUUGUCGUUGUCCUUUUGA
RNAcentral lists this non-coding RNA (29 nucleotides) under Rattus norvegicus (Norway rat). The record is from RNAcentral. Lineage: Eukaryota; Metazoa; Chordata; Mammalia; Rodentia; Muridae.